This 76-nucleotide transfer RNA is filed under the name Fervidobacterium islandicum. RNAcentral describes it as "tRNA-Glu". It matches the Rfam family "tRNA". Rfam says of the family: Transfer RNA (tRNA) molecules are approximately 80 nucleotides in length. Their secondary structure includes four short double-helical elements and three loops (D, anti-codon, and T loops). Lineage: Bacteria; Thermotogati; Thermotogota; Thermotogae; Thermotogales; Fervidobacteriaceae. RNAcentral also lists the same sequence under 18 other names. The record is from RNAcentral.
GCCCCCAUCGUCUAGCGGUCUAGGACACUGGCCUUUCAAGCCAGCGGCACGGGUUCGAAUCCCGUUGGGGGCGCCA